GGGUGUUCGCGUUGCAUGUCGCAACGAAACAGGUUGUUUGCGCUGGUCGGGCCGCCACG
Molecule: non-coding RNA, 59 nt
Filed under: Hydrogenophaga sp.
Lineage: Bacteria; Pseudomonadati; Pseudomonadota; Betaproteobacteria; Burkholderiales; Comamonadaceae
Description: Li+-I sequence
Rfam family: nhaA-I RNA
About the family: Acidobacteria, Alphaproteobacteria, Betaproteobacteria and Gammaproteobacteria, Verrucomicrobia, cand. division NC10. Downstream gene
Source: RNAcentral